UUCGGAUAUCUUUUGAUAUGGUAGGCGAGCAUUCUGUAGCUGUGAAGCGGGACCGUAAGGACCGUUGGAGCGAUCAGAAAAGACUCUGUCGGCAUAAGUAGCGAUAACGCGGGUGAGAACCCCGCGCGCCGUAAACCUAAGGUUUCCUGAGUAAAGUUAAUCUGCUCAGGGUUAGACGGCACCUAAGGCGAGGCCGAAAGGCGUAGUCGAUGGAAAUCCGGUUAAUAUUCCGGAUCCUGUAACGUGUGCUGUGGGAGGACGCAGUAGGGUAGGCGAGACGGCCGAUGGAUGUGCCGUUGAACUCAUCAUAGCCCGUCACUUUGGAAAAUCCGGGUGACAUAAGGGUAAAGGUAGGGACGAAAGUAGGGGUAAAACCCGAAAAAAGUCGCUGACCCCAGCUGCCAAGAAAAUUCUCGUUCAGCUAUACACGCGAUCAGACCGUACCGCAAACCGACACAGGUAGGUGGGGUGAGAAUCCUAAGGCGCUUGUGAGAACUCUCGUUCAGGAACUCGGCAAACUAGCCCCGUAACUUCGGGAAAAGGGGUGCCGUCCUCCGGGACGGUCGCAGAGAAAUGUCCCAGGCGACUGUUUACUAAAAACACAGGUCUCCGCAAAGUCGUGAAGACGACGUAUGGGGGCUGACGCCUGCCCAAUGCUGGAAGGUUAAAAGGAGUGGUUAGUCGUAAGGCGAAGCUACGAAUUGAAGCCCCAGUGAAUGGCGGCCGUAACUAUAACGGUCCUAAGGUAGCGAAAUUCCUUGUCGGGUAAGUUCCGACCUGCACGAAUGGCGUAACGAUCUGGGAGCUGUCUUAACGAGAGACACAGCGAACUUGUAGUACCGGUGAAGAUGCCGGUUUCCCGCAUCUAGACGGAAAGACCCCGUGCACCUUUACUACAACUUGAUAGUGGGUUCGGGCAAACGAUGCGCAGGAUAGGUGGGAGGCUUUGAAGCCGGGCUUUUGGGCUCGGUGGAGCCAACGGUGAGAUACCACCCUUCGUUUGUCUGGACUCUAACCUAGGGCCGUAAUCCGGUUCAGGGACACUAUCAGGCGGGUAGUUUGACUGGGGCGGUCGCCUCCCAAAGAGUAACGGAGGCGCUCGAAGGUUGGCUCAGGCUGUUUGGAAAUCAGCCGUAGAGUGUAAACGCAUAAGCCAGCUUGACUGUGAGACAAACAAGUCGAACAGGUACGAAAGUAGGAGUUAGUGAUCCGGCGGUUCUGUAUGGAAGGGCCGUCGCUCAACGGAUAAAAGGUACGCCGGGGAUAACAGGCUGAUCCUGCCCAAGAGUUCACAUCGACGGCAGGGUUUGGCACCUCGAUGUCGGCUCAUCGCAUCCUGGGGCUGAAGAAGGUCCCAAGGGUUUGGCUGUUCGCCAAUUAAAGCGGUACGUGAGCUGGGUUUAGAACGUCGCGAGACAGUUCGGUCCCUAUCUGGUGUGGGCGGAGCAGAAUUGAGGGAAUCUGUCCUUAGUACGAGAGGACCGGGAUGGAUCCACCUCUAGUGUACGAGUUAUGGCGCCAGCCGUAGCGCUCGGUAGCUAUGUGGAGCAUGGAUAAACGCUGAAUGCAUCUAAGCGUGAAGCCAGACCCAAGAUUAUUUCUGCCAGUGAGACUCCUCGUAGACCACGAGGUUAAUAGGGUGGAUAUGUAAGUGCAGUAAUGUGCUCAGUUGACCACUACUAAUCAGUCCCUUGGCUUGACCAU
RNAcentral lists this ribosomal RNA (1704 nucleotides) under soil metagenome. RNAcentral's name for it is "bacterial LSU rRNA". It matches the Rfam family "Bacterial large subunit ribosomal RNA", at positions 1201 to 2925 of the family's 2925-position model. The record is from RNAcentral.